UGAAAGGUUGCUGACCCCUGCUUUAGACUAAUCUACUUUCAGCUGCCUCUUACAUCUCUCUAUUUCAGUUUCUGUUAUUACAUUUACUUGUGCCCCAGUAUCUAUCUUGUGUGUCACACAAAUGCCAUUUCUGCAUGUGAUGGGGUGUUCACCCGAUACUAGCAUGGAAAGGGUUAAUGAGGUUGAGAAGGGGCCAAUUAACCAGGUAGGCAACAUAUGAGGGGAAUUAGGUAGAUAAAUAACCCUGGAUUGAUGAUGAAGUCUAGCUGAGACGGAAUAGAUGGAAUGUUGCAGAUCUUGGCUGGUGAUUAGAGGGUCCCUCAGCUGGAACUCAUAGUAGAGGAUGGGCCUGGAUUCCCAUACCACCCACUGGUGAAGUGGUACAGUUAGAGUAGUGGAUUUGAAGACUACCUGUCUUGAAGGUCUUUGAUACCCCAGAAAGAGCAGCCACAAAGAGCGGCCUGAGUCACAGAUAGAGAGGGAAGCUGCCAGGCAUGCAGACAAGCAACAGGAGGGGGAGUCAGAUCUGGAAGGACCUAAUCCCCAGAGCUGCCAGGAAGAGGUGCCUCAGUGUUCCCGGCCUCAUUCGCCAUACCACCUUCCAUCUUCUGCAACAGAUGAGGCAAGGAACCUACAGACAGUAGCUGCCUUCACACAACCCAGAUUGAUUUCCUCAGACUCAUCCAUCUUGUGCAUUAAAUGAGGCUGGGAAUCCUGUGGAAAAAUGUGGUGUAAUUUAUCAUUCAAAUGAGAAAACUUGUGGAAAAUGGAAUUAAUCAUUUAAUCCUUACUACAUAAAGUCUCUAGUUGCUCCAGCUGACACAUUCACUGCUGAGUGCUUAAGGCAGAUAGACAAGGCAAGGUUUAUCUACACAUUUGCAUAGCAAAUAUGCCGUCCUAUGGCAGGAC
Molecule: long non-coding RNA, 909 nt
Organism: Mauremys reevesii (Reeves's turtle)
Lineage: Eukaryota; Metazoa; Chordata; Testudines; Geoemydidae
Exons: 3
Source: RefSeq, a predicted model, not a curated record